RNAcentral lists this long non-coding RNA (3047 nucleotides) under Anas platyrhynchos platyrhynchos (common mallard). Its description in RNAcentral is "lncRNA (ENSAPLG00000025157.1)". Lineage: Eukaryota; Metazoa; Chordata; Aves; Anseriformes; Anatidae. The record is from RNAcentral.
GCUGAGAGCAGUGCUGAUAGUGCUCGAGAGGAACUGGAGGCUGUGAAAGAAGAGGGGGGGGAGGAGAGGAGGCUCUGGUGUGUGCCCCAGAGAAGAGGAGAGGGGGCCUUCAGGUGCUCACAGUGCUGGGAGGGAUCCCAUGUUCGGACCCUGGGCUGGGUGAAGCUUCCCUUGGGCUUGAGCAGUUCUGUCCGAACCGAACCGAUUGCCAUGGCACAACCUGCGUUGGAACGAGUCCUGGUUAGCGCUGGGUGCAGCGCGCUGCUGGAAGAGCCCGCGUGGCGCACGCAGAAUUGCUCUGAUGAGCACACGGCGUGUGUCUUGGGAAACAGGAGCAUGCUAUUGUUCUGCAAGGAGGAGAAUGUGUUAAUGCUUCAUUGCAGUGAUAUCUUGCAAACGUUACAGGCACCAGCGACCUGAUAAUUAGAUGGAGAAUUGAAGAUCUUUGACAGUGCUGCUAAUCAACAUCUCAGUGCUGGCUUUCUACUAUGCCUGACCAAAAAAAAGGACGUGUGCUUAUCGACUGCAGGGGUGUCCGUGUGAUUGUAACCAUGUAAGUUCACAAACAAGGACUGUAAUUAACCAUGACUGUAUUAUUGGAUAUGUGCAUGUGUAAUUAACAAAGCAGAUAUUUUUGUGUAUGUGGCUCUGCUCACUUGUUCAUGAAAACUCUCCACUAUUUUCAUCAGAAUAUUAAGGUUAAUUAAAAUUAAUUCUGUUUGUAUUGACUGCCUUUUCACUUCUGCAAAGUUUGUGCAAAUCAAAUGUGUGGCUAGGGCCGCCUUCCCUAUAAAAUCCAUAAAGUUUGCUUUCAGAGCUGGGGGAAAGAGGAAUCAAAAUUGCAGGCUGUUUGAAAUUUAAAUCAGAGCAAUGCUGGUCAAUAGCAUCAAGGUUAUAAUGCCCUGCGAGAUUCUGAUUGGGCAUUGCCAGGUGCAUGCCGGGUGACAAGGACAUUAAAGGCCAGUUGAAUGGAAUCUUAGGAUUUAUGUUCUUUCAGUUUGGAUUGAAUGCUGGGGUUCCUGGCUGAAAAAUCAUGGAAAGCCAUGAUCUCUUUUCAUAAAGUAGAAUUAUAUAGGUUCGUUUUUUGGAUGAUGUUCCGCCUGUGUAGAGGGGGAGCACGAGACCGCUGUUUGUACUCUGCUAAUGCCAGAAUUCCCCAGCUGAGAUGAGAACUUUCUCAUAUUAACCACUGAACGAGUAUGUAGCAAGAUACAGAGGUUGUCCUGAAGAGUUUGCAAUCUUAGUAAACGGCACUGAUGCACUACGUGAGAAGGGAAUUGUAUGCAUGACUUGUGGUCAUGUUGCGAGCUACAAACACUACAGUGGGCUCUCCCGAGAGCUGGCAGUAAACCCAGUAUUCCUGACACCCUGUCUGCACUCCUUCCAGUGCUUUCCCGGCUUCUGUGUUUCUAGAAGAUGAUUAAGUGGGUUACAGGCUGAAUAGACUGAGCUCUCUUUCGAUCAAUCAGUGAGAGCUCUCAUUAAUUUUAAUCUGAAGUAAACGGCAGUAUAGCAGUUUCUAUGUUUUUGAUAAUAUAUUACAUUACUUUUUGAUGUUUCUAUUUCUUUUUAAAUCUAGGAAAGCCUAGGUUCCAUUUUAGAACCUUUGACAGAUACAGAGAUUGAAGGGGAUUAUUGGACAAGGAGUAAUGGCUUUAAAAGAGGGUAGAUUUAGAUUAAAGAAUUUCUUCCUUAUAUCUGCUUGGAGGGUGGUGAGGCACUGGAACAGAAUUCCCAGAGAAGCUGUGGAUCCUCCAUCCCUGGAGGUGUUCAAGGCCAGGUUGGAUGGGGCUUUUUGUAACUUGGUCUGGUUGAAGAUGUCCCUGCCCACAGCAAAGGGCUGGAACUAGAUGAUCUUUAAGGUCCCUUCCAACCCACACCAUCCUAUGAUAGGAAAUGGAAGGGUAGCUUGGAGAGUUUAUCUGGGUGUUGCUCCUUAAAUACUCAACUAUUUCAGCUGUUACGCAUGUUGCUUGAACAGGUCCACAAGCUUGCCAGAGCCUUCAGGUGGAUUUGGCGCUGCCUCUUCCUUAAAGUGACCUCUUCAUAAAGAGAUUUUAAGCUACAGAAGCUGUGUUUGAUUAGGCUGCAAACUAAGACAAUCACAGAAUGGGUUGGGUUGGAAGGGACCUUAAUCACCUAAUUCCAGCCCUUUGUCCUGGACAGAGAUAGGUAAGAGUCUUUGUAACAGGGGAAAAAGUCAGAUUAACAAAUACGAAUUGAGGUUAGAAUGUAAUAUAACAAGGCUGACAUUAAACACCUCCCCGUUUCCCCUCUCACAUGAAUAGACAUUCUGUUUCAGGUUUGCUUGGAUUUCAGCAGUUUGCUGACAUUUUGGAUGACGACAAAGUCAUUGCACUCCUGCCUAAGUACCUAGGAAAAUGAUUUCCCUCUGAGGACCCCUGUGUCUUUCUCCUAGUUCCUCCUUGCUUUGUUGCUGUCCUUCCUUGCCUGCAGGCUCCUGGCUGCUGGUAGGUCUCAUUCUCUCCAUCCCUCCCUCCCUGCGCUCCUUGAGUGGGACCCGUGCGGCAUCGUCCCACGGAGCUCAGAGGGACCCACCUGGUCUGCGGGGACACGCUGCCUGCCAGCUGCCCAGCCGGAAGGAGGGAGAACAUUGCGUACAGUCAGGUGCAAAUACCCCAAACUAAUGCUGUCCAGCACAUUUGCCACUUAACUUCUCAAUCUUUGAACCUCGUGAUUAACGCGUGGAGAGGAUAUAGGUGGUUCGCAGUUCUCGCAGCUAUUGUUGCAGACUGUCUGCAGGCUCAGGAGUACACUUCUAUGUGGCCUUACUCUUGAUUUAUGUUCCUUUGGUUUAUUCCCUAGGGAGGGAAAUCUCUACAGGGUGUAAAUCAGACUUUUUUUUUUUUUUUGCAAGGCUCUGGCUCGUAAUUCUUUCAAGUGUAAAUCUGAACAUAAUUCUGCAACAAGGUUGGGGUCUAUAGCUAAUCACGUAGCUACGGGCUUUAUAUCUCUGUAAAGCUUUAGGCCAUUUCUGUAGAAAUAUACAGAUCAUCUUCCAAAGAAUAAAAUAGUAAUGUCCUACA